GUCUCGAUAGCUAAGUGGUAUAGCAUGCGAUUGCAGUCAUACAUGAUCAUGUUUCAUGGCUUCAUCGCAGGGUCCGGUGUUCGAACCACCGUCGGGACU
Molecule: non-coding RNA, 99 nt
Organism: Lyophyllum atratum
Lineage: Eukaryota; Fungi; Basidiomycota; Agaricomycetes; Agaricales; Lyophyllaceae
Source: the annotation of a GenBank genome assembly